GGGGGGGGGUGGGGGGGGGGGGGGCGGAUGCGGGGCGAGGGGCAGCGCGGGGAGAGCUGGCUCUUACGGGUGGCGAGUGGCUGACGGGUGGGGAAUACGUCGGAAUCUACUUUUUCGUGGGGGGUAACGUAGGGCAACGUACGCUGAGACCGCAGACGCCCUACGGGUGAAGGCAGGGGCUCUUCGUACCUUGCGCGGUUGAAUGAGCCGAUGUCGGAUUAGCUCGUUGGCGGGGUCCAGGCCCACCACGGCGACGCUCCGUAGAUGGUCUGAGAGGAUGAUCAGCCACACUGGAACUGAGACACGGUCCAGACUCCGAGGGGAGGAAGCAGUGGGGAAUAUUGGAAAAUGGGCGCAAGCAUGAUCCAGCCAUACCGCGUGGGUGAAGAAGGCCUUAGGGUUGUAAAGCCCUUUUGUUGGGAAAGAAAAGCAGCAGGUUAAUACCAAGCUGUUCUGAAGGUACCCAAAGAAUAAGCACCGGCUAACUUCGUG
This 492-nucleotide ribosomal RNA is filed under the name uncultured bacterium. RNAcentral's name for it is "partial 16S ribosomal RNA". It matches the Rfam family "Bacterial small subunit ribosomal RNA", at positions 39 to 507 of the family's 1533-position model. The record is from RNAcentral.